This is a non-coding RNA of Lynx canadensis (Canada lynx), 85 nucleotides long. Lineage: Eukaryota; Metazoa; Chordata; Mammalia; Carnivora; Felidae. The record is from the annotation of a RefSeq genome assembly.
GCCUGGGUGGCUCAGUUGGUUGAGCGUCUGACUUCGGCUCAGGUCAUGAUCUUGCGGUUCGCGGGUUCGAGCCCCGCGUCGGGCU